CGAGUCCCAAACAGGACGAAACGCGCGUC
This is a non-coding RNA of Schistosoma mattheei, 29 nucleotides long. NCBI's taxonomy places the organism in Eukaryota, Metazoa, Platyhelminthes, Trematoda, Strigeidida, Schistosomatidae. The record is from Rfam.